GAUAUUAUCCCCCCAUUUUUUAAUAUUGUUGUCUAUUUCUUCUUUUUUCUAAAUCCCCGACUUUUAUUAAUCAUAUCGAUAAUUUUUUGAUUUUUGUUACAUAUUUAUCAAAAAAUAUAAAUACAUUUUUAAAAAUUAUUUCAUUAGUCCAAAUUAUAGUCUGGGCUUUUGAGCCAUAUUUUGUGUUUAUUUUUUUCUAAGGCCAAUAUUAUAUGUGUAUAAAUUUAUUUCAUAUGUUUUGUUUUGUCAAAAUUAUAUUGUGCAUCGAUACAUUUAACAAAUUGCGUAGUGACGAGUACCGAUAAACGCGUAAAAACAUUUUUGGUUUCAAUUUUUUUGACUUUUUAAACAGUGAGUGAUGGCUAAACAGUUAUUGCGAUUGUUGAUAACUGGACGACUCAUUGAUUAAAACAUCUACAUAAAAAUAAAUCAGUACUUUAGGAAUACUUAAAAUAGUAUUGAAUAAGGAUGUAUAGAGAAUUCUUAGAAAAACAAUGUACAAAGAUACUUGAGAGUUGAGACUAUUAAUAGGAAGGAAAUUAGCUGAAAAAUAAUUGGAAGAAAGAUUAGAAAUAUAUUAUAGAAAUAAAUCGUAGGCCUUGCUCGCUUCUUCGUGGGCCUUACGGAUGGCUUCAAGCGAUGGCCUGGGAUGGACGGGUGUCAUCAACGUAUCAUUGUUGCAGAUUGGCCGUCUCGGUUGGAUGUUACCGUACGGAUU
Aphis gossypii (cotton aphid) is the source of this 718-nucleotide long non-coding RNA. RefSeq lists it as uncharacterized. NCBI's taxonomy places the organism in Eukaryota, Metazoa, Arthropoda, Insecta, Hemiptera, Aphididae. The transcript has 3 exons. The record is from RefSeq and is a predicted model, not a curated record.